RNAcentral lists this long non-coding RNA (772 nucleotides) under Homo sapiens (human). RNAcentral's name for it is "HSALNT0377629". The record is from RNAcentral. Lineage: Eukaryota; Metazoa; Chordata; Mammalia; Primates; Hominidae.
GUCUCUGCAGUAAGAGAAGAACGGCACUGGGGAGGAGCAGCCGUGCAGGUCUGCCCCUGAGAGGAAGUGUGGUCAGCAUUCCCAUGGAGCCCUGACCGGACCGCUCAGGAGUGGGCAUUCAGCAAGGAUCUUUGUCUGAUAUUCUGAACCCCAGAGUCAUAUGAGAAGAAGAAAAAUGAAUGGAUGAAGGAAUAAGUCUCUUCUUCAACUCAGAUCACAUCAUCAUUCUCUACUCUGUGCUGUGGUCCAGAAGCUGACCUCUAUGGACUAUUUUAACCAGUUUCCCACCACUUUGGCGUCUGUCUGGGCUUCCUGAUGUGAAAUAGGAAGAACAUUCCUUUCUUCAUUUGACAGCUGAAGGAAAUGAAUUAUAGAAUGAAAGAAUUCAGGUGGAAAGAAAAGGAAGUUAACCAAGGAGACUGGGAUUCUGCAGAAGAGGAGUUUAUAGAAACUGAAAACGAGAUUUUAGAAAAUAGUCAAUAAAUUCCAUUUUUGGAAAAUUGAGUUAAAGUAUUAAAGAUUAUUGCAACUAAGUUACAUUCUUAUACACAUUCAGACACAUAAGAAAGAGUAUUGUUGAUUAGAAUCUUUGUGUCUCUGAUUUUCUUCUUAUGCUUUUGUCUCACAAUUAAAUAAAAGGAAGAACUGGGUUUCCCUGAUACUUACCCUCUGCUGCUUGGGAUGAGCUAAUGGUCUCCUAGGAGUUGCAAAGUCUUUACUUGAGAAAACAGUCAAAAAGGUAAUUCUUGCAGCACUAGGUGCUCUAAUGAGA